GGCAGUUCUCGGGCAACACACCCCGGAACUGGGCUUCCUCCUUUCUGGUUCUGGGUUGUUACCUGAGAAGCC
Non-coding RNA from Myotis brandtii (Brandt's bat), 72 nucleotides. Lineage: Eukaryota; Metazoa; Chordata; Mammalia; Chiroptera; Vespertilionidae. The record is from Rfam.